UUCUCUCCGCCAGAAGAUUGGAAACAAUAUUCAUUUCUGAUCAGUUCAGUAAUACACUGUCCUUCAGUGUCCACCUGAGCAUUUCAGUGGAGAAGAAAAGAAACUUUGCUACCUGGGAGCUGAAGACUGCGUAGGUCAGUGAAUGCUAAUAAAGUCCUUAUGGACUUAUGGGACCAGGAGUUAACUUUUCUCAACUGUGAAGAAAGAUGCUGGAGUUCCACAUUCAGUUGUUCCCGUCUUUCCACGUCCAUGGUGCUCCAGAAGGUCUGCCCUACAAGAUCUAGAAUACUAUCAGAUGAAAUCAACUGAUUCAGGCCUUGCCAGCCGAAUGCCAUGCUUCUUCCUGGAGAGAAGAGGGUGAAAGAGCCAACAGGAACUGAGAAGCGUUAUAAACUAAGGAGGAAAAGUAACAAAGAGCUUGAAGACUUUCAUGGCUCCCAGGCCCUGGAUGGAGGCCGGCGGUCUCAGCCAGACGGAACCAAGGAGGUGCUGGUGGCUGCGGAGUGCAGUGCAGGAAGAAGCCUUCAUUCUGCUCCUACUACAAGUGGAAACCCAGAGGAGGGAACAAUUUGCCCAAGG
Suricata suricatta (meerkat) is the source of this 579-nucleotide long non-coding RNA. RefSeq lists it as uncharacterized. Lineage: Eukaryota; Metazoa; Chordata; Mammalia; Carnivora; Herpestidae. The transcript has 5 exons. The record is from RefSeq and is a predicted model, not a curated record.